Molecule: ribosomal RNA, 467 nt
Filed under: uncultured bacterium
Lineage: Bacteria
Description: SSU rRNA
Rfam family: Bacterial small subunit ribosomal RNA
Source: RNAcentral
GGGACGAACGCUGGCGGCGUGCCUAACACAUGCAAGUCGAACGGAGCCCGCAAGGGUUCAGUGGCGAACGGGUGCGUAACACGUGAGGAACUUGUCCAUCGGCGGGGGAUAGCCGGCCCAACGGCCGGGUAAUACCGCGUACGCCGUCCGGAGCGCAUGCUCUGGCCGGGAAAGCAGCAAUGCACCGAUGGAGAGCCUCGCGGCCUAUCAGCUAGUUGGUGGGGUAAUGGCCUACCAAGGCGACGACGGGUAGCUGGUCUGAGAGGAUGACCAGCCACAUUGGGACUGAGACACGGCCCAGACUCCUACGGGAGGCAGCAGUGGGGAAUAUUGCGCAAUGGGCGAAAGCCUGACGCAGCGACGCCGCGUGUGGGAUGACGGCCUUCGGGUUGUAACCGACUGUCGCGAGGGACGAAGAUCUGACGGUACCUCGAAGGAAGCACCGGCUAACUCUGUGCCAGCAGCGC